Molecule: long non-coding RNA, 243 nt
Organism: Megalops cyprinoides (Indo-Pacific tarpon)
Lineage: Eukaryota; Metazoa; Chordata; Actinopteri; Elopiformes; Megalopidae
Exons: 3
Source: RefSeq, a predicted model, not a curated record
UAUACUGACAUUACUCUGUUUUCCCAAAAUAACAGAUGCUGCAGAAGCAUUUUCCGGCAAAGUGAUUUGAUUAUCUCGUUUCUGAACCAGGUCCACCUCUUCGCCGCCCCCUGCCCGGACUCCCCCGCAUGCCCCAGAAGUGGCAGGGUGGCCCCAUUGUCAGCUUUAAGGCCCAUCCGGCCAGCAGUGCAGGGUGCUCGACUGAGCUACAGGCGGCACGCACACGGAGGAAUUCUCAUCAGA